UGAGUAACCUGCCCUUAACUCUGGGAUAAGCCUGGGAAACUGGGUCUAAUACCGGAUAUGACUCCUCAUCGCAUGGUGGGGGGUGGAAAGCUUUUUUGUGGUUUUUGGAUGGACUCACGGCCUAUCAGCUUGUUGGUGAGGUAAUGGCUCACCAAGGCGACGACGGGUAGCCGGCCUGAGAGGGUGACCGGCCACACUGGGACUGAGACACGGCCCAGACUCCUACGGGAGGCAG
This 235-nucleotide ribosomal RNA is filed under the name uncultured bacterium. RNAcentral's name for it is "partial 16S ribosomal RNA". It matches the Rfam family "Bacterial small subunit ribosomal RNA", at positions 118 to 351 of the family's 1533-position model. The record is from RNAcentral.